Molecule: ribosomal RNA, 439 nt
Filed under: uncultured bacterium
Lineage: Bacteria
Description: partial 16S ribosomal RNA
Rfam family: Bacterial small subunit ribosomal RNA
Source: RNAcentral
CCUACGGGAGGCAGCAGUGGGGAAUAUUGCACAAUGGGCGAAAGCCUGAUGCAGCAACGCCGCGUGAGCGAUGAAGGCCUUCGGGUCGUAAAGCUCUGUCCUCAAGGAAGAUAAUGACGGUACUUGAGGAGGAAGCCCCGGCUAACUACGUGCCAGCAGCCGCGGUAAUACGUAGGGGGCUAGCGUUAUCCGGAAUUACUGGGCGUAAAGGGUGCGUAGGUGGUUGCUUAAGUCAGAGGUGAAAGGCUAGGGCUCAACCGUAGUAAGCCUUUGAAACUGGGGAACUUGAGUGCAGGAGAGGAGAGUGGAAUUCCUAGUGUAGCGGUGAAAUGCGUAGAUAUUAGGAGGAACACCAGUUGCGAAGGCGGCUCUCUGGACUGUAACUGACACUGAGGCACGAAAGCGUGGGGAGCAAACAGGAUUAGAUACCCGGGUAGUC